AGCAGCCGCGGUAAUUCCAGCUCCAAUAGCGUAUAUUAAAGUUGUUGCAGUUAAAAAGCUCGUAGUUGAAUUUCGGGAUCAAUUUAUUGGUCGUGCCAACGGUACGCACUGGUACAAUUGGUUUCUCCCUUCUGACGAAGCAUGAUGUCAUUAACUUGAUGUCGUGGGGAAUCAGGACUGUUACUUUGAAAAAAUUAGAGUGUUUAAAGCAGGCUUUGGCUUGAAUACAUUAGCAUGGAAUAAUGAAAUAGGACGGUUGAUCUUAUUUCGUUGGUUUCUAAGAUCGACGUAAUGAUUAAUAGGGAUAGUUGGGGGCAUUAGUAUUCAAUUGUCAGAGGUGAAAUUCUUGGAUUUAUUGAAGACUAACUACUGCGAAAGCAUUUGCCAAGGAUGUUUUCAUUAAUCAAGAACGAAAGUUAGGGGAUCGAAGACGAUCAGAUACCGUCGUAGUCUUAACCAUAAACUAUGCCGACUAGGGAUCGGAUGAUGUUAAUUUUUUAAUGACUCAUUCGGCGCCUUACG
Molecule: ribosomal RNA, 522 nt
Filed under: uncultured Glomus
Lineage: Eukaryota; Fungi; Glomeromycota; Glomeromycetes; Glomerales; Glomeraceae
Description: SSU rRNA
Rfam family: Eukaryotic small subunit ribosomal RNA
Source: RNAcentral